GUGAGGAAUAUUGGGCAAUGGGCGCAAGCCUGACCCAGCAACGCCGCGUGAAGGAUGAAGGCCCUUGGGUUGUAAACUUCUUUUGCAGGGGAAGAGAGCGGACGGUACCCUGAGAAUAAGUCACGGCUAACUACGUGCCAGCAGCCGCGGUAAUACGUAGGUGACAAGCGUUAUCCGGAAUUACUGGGCGUAAAGCGCACGCAGGCGGCUAGGUAAGUCUGACGUGAAAUCUCCCGGCUUAACCGGGAGCGGUCGUUGGAAACUACUUGGCUUGAGGCGAUGAGAGGGGUGUGGAAUUCCCGGUGUAGUGGUGGAAUGCGUAGAUAUCGGGAGGAACAUCAGUGGCGAAAGCGGCACCCUGGCAUUAGCCUGACGCUCAGGUGCGAAAGCGUGGGGAGCGAACGGGAUUAGAAACCCCAGUAGUCC
This 426-nucleotide ribosomal RNA is filed under the name uncultured bacterium. Its description in RNAcentral is "bacterial SSU rRNA". It matches the Rfam family "Bacterial small subunit ribosomal RNA", at positions 354 to 796 of the family's 1533-position model. The record is from RNAcentral.